GAUGAACGCUGGCGGCGUGCCUAAUACAUGCAAGUCGAACGAAACUUCUUUAUCACCGAGUGCUUGCACUCACCGAUAAAGAGUUGAGUGGCGAACGGGUGAGUAACACGUGGGCAGCCUGCCCAAAAGAGGGGGAUAACACUUGGAAACAGGUGCUAAUACCGCAUAACCAUAGUUACCGCAUGGUAACUAUGUAAAAGGUGGCUAUACUACCGCUUUUGGAUGGGCCCGCGGCGAAUUAGCUAGUUGGUAGGGUAAAGGCUUACCAAGGCAAUGAUGCGUAGCCGAAUUGAGAGGUUGAUCGGCCACAUUGGGACUGAGACACGGCCCAAACUCCUACGGGAGGCAGCAGUAGGGAAUCUUCCACAAUGGGCGAAAGCCUGAUGGAGCAACGCCGCGUGGGUGAAGAAGGUCUUCGGAUCGUAAAACCCUGUUGUUAGAGAAGAAAGUGCGUGAGAGUAACUGUUCACGUUUCGACGGUAUCUAACCAGAAAGCCACGGCUAACUACGU
This 511-nucleotide ribosomal RNA is filed under the name uncultured bacterium. Its description in RNAcentral is "partial 16S ribosomal RNA". It matches the Rfam family "Bacterial small subunit ribosomal RNA", at positions 28 to 506 of the family's 1533-position model. The record is from RNAcentral.